Long non-coding RNA from Oncorhynchus tshawytscha (Chinook salmon), 424 nucleotides. The record is from Ensembl. Lineage: Eukaryota; Metazoa; Chordata; Actinopteri; Salmoniformes; Salmonidae.
CUGGUACAGAGUCAAUGUGGAGGCUAUAUACAGGGGUACCGGUACAGAGUCAAUGUGGAGGCUAUAUACAGGGGGGUACCGGUACAGAGUCAAUGUGGAGGCUAUAUACAGGGGUACCGGUACAGAGACAAUGUGGAGGCUAUAUACAGGGGGUACCGGUACAGAGUCAAUGUGGAGGCUAUAUACAAGGGGUACAGGUACAGAGUCAAUGUGGAGGCUAUAUACAGGGUGUACCAGUACAGAGUCAAUGUGGAGGCUAUAUACAGGGGGUAACGGUACAGAGACAAUGUGGAGGCUAUAUACAGGGGUACUGGUACAGAGUCAAUGUGGAGGCUAUAUACAGGGGGUACCGGUACAGAGUCAAUGUGGAGGCUAUAUACAGGGGGUACCGGUACAGAGUCAAUGUGGAGGCUAUAUACAGGGG